CAUUCACGGAGAGUUUGAUCCUGGCUCAGGACGAACGCUGGCGGCGUGCUUAACACAUGCAAGUCGAACGAUGAAGCCUCUUCGGGGGUGGAUUAGUGGCGAACGGGUGAGUAACACGUGGGCAAUCUGCCCUGUACUUCGGGACAAGCCCUGGAAACGGGGUCUAAUACCGGAUGGGACUGCCGGCCGCAUGGUCUGGUGGUGGAAAGCUUCGGCGGUACAGGAUGAGCCCGCGGCCUAUCAGCUUGUUGGUGGGGUGAUGGCCUACCAAGGCGACGACGGGUAGCCGGCCUGAGAGGGCGACCGGCCACACUGGGACUGAGACACGGCCCAGACUCC
Molecule: ribosomal RNA, 339 nt
Filed under: Streptomyces nanshensis
Lineage: Bacteria; Bacillati; Actinomycetota; Actinomycetes; Kitasatosporales; Streptomycetaceae
Description: bacterial SSU rRNA
Rfam family: Bacterial small subunit ribosomal RNA
Source: RNAcentral